Molecule: long non-coding RNA, 229 nt
Filed under: Hordeum vulgare
Lineage: Eukaryota; Viridiplantae; Streptophyta; Magnoliopsida; Poales; Poaceae
Description: long non-coding RNA (HVUL_LNC015762)
Source: RNAcentral
UGUUUCUCUUUGUUAGUUUUAGAUCUUAUGUUCAUCGUCAUGACAAGCUCGAGUUCAUUGAAAACGGAGUCCAUAUGCAUCUUCUAUGAUGUUUUCGAUGUUGGGAGUUUUUGCCGGUCUUAUUCGAGGAAGGGUUCUCACCAUUUUCAUAUGGGCCUUUUCUCACUUGCUUCUUAUUUAUAUUUGUAUCAAGAUUGUGUUAUCCCAUGUCUUUAGCUUUCUAACAAAC